GAUGAACGCUGGCGGCGUGCCUAAUACAUGCCAGUCGAGCGAACAGAUGAGGAGCUUGCUCCUCUGACGUUAGCGGCGGACGGGUGAGUAACACGUGGAUAACCUACCUAUAAGACUGGGAUAACUUCGGGAAACCGGAGCUAAUACCGGAUAAUAUAUUGAACCGCAUGGUUCAAUAGUGAAAGACGGUUUUGCUGUCACUUAUAGAUGGAUCCGCGCCGCAUUAGCUAGUUGGUAAGGUAACGGCUUACCAAGGCAACGAUGCGUAGCCGACCUGAGAGGGUGAUCGGCCACACUGGAACUGAGACACGGUCCAGACUCCUACGGGUGGCAGCAGUAGCGAAUCUUCCGCAAUGGGCGAAAGCCUGACGGAGCAACGCCGCGUGAGUGAUGAAGGUCUUCGGAUCGUAAAACUCUGUUAUUAGGGAAGAACAAAUGUGUAAGUAACUAUGCACGUCUUGACGGUACCUAAUCAGAAAGCCACGGCUAACUACGUG
RNAcentral lists this ribosomal RNA (497 nucleotides) under uncultured bacterium. RNAcentral describes it as "partial 16S ribosomal RNA". It matches the Rfam family "Bacterial small subunit ribosomal RNA", at positions 28 to 507 of the family's 1533-position model. The record is from RNAcentral.